CCGCCCCGGGCCUCGCCAAAUCUUGGGGCCCCUAAAAGUUUUGUUUAAUAUAUAUAUGUUUAGAUAAUAUAAAAAAGAAUAUGGAGAAAACCACCAAACACACUUGUAGUUGAGAUGGGUGAGACGCAGGAUGCAAGUAGGAGGGUUGUAUGUUCGAAUCUUUCUAUAUGCAUUUUUGGCAUUUUUUAAUUCUCUUAAAUCCAAGCAACUUCUUCGUAAAUGAAUCACCUUUUUUUCCGCAUCUUUUGAUGGAAGCGAUUUUUUUUGUGUCUCGUCAUGGAAGCGGGAAAAUCAAGUCUCUCAAUUCUCCCAAAAGACUUCUUCUGUUUCCCAAAGCGACCUCUCAGAAUCGACUUCAUAAACACUGCUACAAUGCAACAUGCGAGAGUUCAUUGCAAAAGGCUGAAAUUGACAAUUAGAUUCAAUUUCUAAUUGACUUCAGUUGUAGAAGGGCAAGGGUGAAAGCGGAAGGCUGAAAAUAAACCGAUAUUGACACCAGAAUUUCAGCUUCAAAGUUCAAACCUUCAAAGUAUUUCUACACUAUUAGAUAUCUUACUUGAGUAAUUGACAAGUUUGUUUUGAUAUUAGGCUUCAAUAGUUCAACAUAUUUCACAAAGAAAUCCAAGAAAUCAGGUGUAUUCUUUUCUUAAAGUAGUUUUUACUUUAUUGUCAAUCAUAAAAUGUUUUCUAUAAAACACUUAUCCGGUAGUGAAAAACGAAAAAUUGUUAAGGCUUCUUUACAAAAAGAAAAAGGGUCUAUGGUUAAAUUUUUAAAACCAAUGAGUUCUAACGAAGAUAAUAUUAAUUUGAAUGUACAUGAUACUAAUUUAAAUGAAAAUGUGGCUAGUGUUAAUGAAGAAAACAUUACUUUAAAUGAACAUGAUAAUAAUUUGAAUGAAGAAAAUAUUAAUUUCAAUGGACAAGAUAAAAACAUAAAGGAAAAUGUUGCUAGUUUGAAUGAAAAAAAAUUAAUUUAAAUGAACAUGAUACUAAUAUAAAUGUAGAAAAUACUAAUGUAAAUGAAUCUAUAAAUAUUUUUGACCCUAGAAAUUGGGAUACUCUUCAUAUUAAAUCAAGAGAUAUUCUCAUUGAAAAAUGGCCAAUAAGAGAAAUGAAUAUUGUGUUUCCUAAAGAUAAAUUUUCUAGACAUUUUUCUUAUGCAUUUUAUACUAGAAAGUUAAAUAAUGGUUUGUCACGUGAUCGAAAAUGGUUAGCAUACUAUAAAAAUUUAGAUAAAGUUUUUUGUUUUUGUUGUAAAAUAUUUAAAUCUACUAAUCAAAAACGUUUUUUUACAAAUGAAGGAUAUAAUGAUUAGAAGAAUCUUAGCGAGAGACAUAAAGAACAUGAAAAUAGUAAUGAACAUUUUGUUUAUAUGAGUAAUUGGAAUGAAGCAAAACUAAGAUUAGAUAAAAACCCUACAAUUGAUAACGAAUUACAACAAGAAAUGAUAAAAGAAAAAGAACGUUGGAGACAAGUAUUAAGAAAAGCUAGGAGAAAUAUUUUUAUUAUAUCUAGAAAGGCUAGGAGAAAUAUUUUCCUAUAAAUUAGUUGUUUUUGUAAUGUUGUGACCAUAUUUGUGUUUUUUAAUAUUAAUAGUGAAUUUUAUAGUAUUCUAUUUCGAACUAAUUUUUAUUUUAUUUACGUCUAUGGGGGCCCAUUUUUUCUUUUCGCCCUGGGCCUACCAUAGCUUUGGACCGGCCCUGGGAGCUAGCAAUGGAAACCCUAAAUUUCAGGGUUUUGCACCCUAUAUAUAUUGGAUCAUUAGCGCAUCCCACUGUCCUCUAUCACCCCUUGAGAGCCAAAGACCCUAAUUUUCAUGAGUGUGAGCUUGGAGAGUGUUUGGAGCUUUGAGAAGUGAACUUUGUAAAGGAAAACUAUAAAUCAAGAGGCUAGCAUCAAGGAUUUCGUGUGGAGGUAUUAAGCUGUUACCUUAACCUUUUUUCUUCUAGAAUCAUUCAUAUGUGGAGGCUAGGGCUUUCUUUGGUUAUUCGUUAAGGGAUUUUGUUAUGGGAGCUAGAUCUGAAGUUGAAACUUCAGAUCUGAACCUCUUUUGAGUCCUAAGUCCAUAAAGUUUCCAGCUCUUGCAAGGAUGAGACUCUCCUAAGGUGUAAAGCUCCAUUAGAAACUUAGAUUGGUCAUUUAGAGCCCCUAGGGCCUUGUAUGCACGUAAAGUUUGCAACUUUACAUGAUAAACAUGCCCUAGAAGCUUGGAUCUACAAUAUGGAGCCGCUGCAUGGCUUAAAAAGUGUCUGUAUAGAGGAUGGACUGAAGGGACUCGGCGAGUCGCAAGGUCGACUCAACGAGUCGCAUG
Molecule: non-coding RNA, 2311 nt
Organism: Lactuca sativa (garden lettuce)
Lineage: Eukaryota; Viridiplantae; Streptophyta; Magnoliopsida; Asterales; Asteraceae
Source: RefSeq, a predicted model, not a curated record